Molecule: long non-coding RNA, 420 nt
Organism: Gordionus sp. m RMFG-2023
Lineage: Eukaryota; Metazoa; Nematomorpha; Gordioida; Chordodea; Parachordodidae
Exons: 4
Source: RefSeq, a predicted model, not a curated record
GUUCCUAGGUCAAGUGAAAAGUUUCAUUCUAGUACCAUAAAAGAUGAUGAUGAAAAUUUUCAAGAACCAGCUAUUAAAAAUCUAAAGCUUAUGAAGGUUAUGAAUAUACUAAAUUCGAUAGUUGGAGAGGAUUAUAUUGUAUAAACAAAAUAGAUAAUGGAGUUAAGACACCAGAAAAAGCAUCGAAAAUGCUAGAGCCUGAUGACAUUCGACCUUUUGGUGCCCCGCCGGAGAGGACGGGCAUGGCUCAAAAUGCCGUUUAUGGUACAGAGGUGGAGAUAGUUGCAAUGACAACUAUGCUCCAGACAAAUAUUUUAAUACAUACUAUUUAUAAAUGGGCAUACUAUAUGCCCAUUAAAAAAUUAAGUAAUAUUAAAAAAUUUAAUGUAAAUAUUUAUUUAAUAAAUCAUAGCAAACAUA